CGGACGGGUGAGUAACACGAAAGAAUUUGCCUUUAGGAAGGGGACAACAACCGGAAACGGUUGCUGAUACCCCAUAUGCAUUCGAGUGAAAUGGAUUUCCGCCUAAAGAGAAGCUUGCGGCUGAUUAGCUUGUUGGUAGGGUAAUGGCUUACCAAGGCCACGAUCAGUAUUUGGUUUGAGAGGACGAUCAGAAACACUGGAACUGAGACACGGUCCAGACUCCUACGGGAGGCAGCAGUACGGAAUUUUACGCAAUGGGCGAAAGCGUGACGGAGCAAUACCGCGUGAGGGAUGACUGCCUAUGGGUUGUAAACCUCUUUUUUCAGGGAGGAAUAAAUGACGUGUACCUGAAGAAUAAGCAUCGGCUAACUCCGUGCCAGCAGCCGCGGUAAGACGGAGGAUGCAAGUGUUAUCCGGAAUCACUGGGCGUAAAGCGUCUGUAGGUGGCUCGACAAGUCAACUGUUAAAUCUUGAAGCUCAACUUCGAAAUCGCAGUCGAAACUAUCGAACUAGAGUAUAGUAGAGGUAAAGGGAAUUUCCAGUGGAGCGGUGAAAUGCGUAGAGACUGGAAAGAACACCGAUGGCGAAGGCACUUUACUGGGCUAUUACUGACACUCAGAGACGAAAGCUAGGGUAGCAAAUGGGAUUAGAUACCCCAGUAGUC
RNAcentral lists this ribosomal RNA (664 nucleotides) under uncultured cyanobacterium. RNAcentral's name for it is "bacterial SSU rRNA". It matches the Rfam family "Bacterial small subunit ribosomal RNA", at positions 99 to 795 of the family's 1533-position model. Lineage: Bacteria; Bacillati; Cyanobacteriota. The record is from RNAcentral.